This 77-nucleotide transfer RNA is filed under the name Gonium pectorale. It matches the Rfam family "tRNA". From Rfam's summary of the family: Transfer RNA (tRNA) molecules are approximately 80 nucleotides in length. Their secondary structure includes four short double-helical elements and three loops (D, anti-codon, and T loops). Further hydrogen bonds mediate the characteristic L-shaped molecular structure. tRNAs have two regions of fundamental functional importance: the anti-codon, which is responsible for specific mRNA codon recognition, and the 3' end, to which the tRNAs corresponding amino acid is attached (by aminoacyl-tRNA synthetases). tRNAs cope with the degeneracy of the genetic code in two manners: having more than one tRNA (with a specific anti-codon) for a particular amino acid; and 'wobble' base-pairing, i.e. permitting non-standard base-pairing at the 3rd anti-codon position. The record is from Rfam by way of RNAcentral. Lineage: Eukaryota; Viridiplantae; Chlorophyta; Chlorophyceae; Chlamydomonadales; Volvocaceae.
GGUCAGGUAGCUUAACGCAAAGCAUCCCAUUUGCAUAUGCAAAGGGAAGGAUCCGGGUUCGAGUCCCGGUCUGAACC